GGAAUCUUAGUCGCUUAGCUGGUUGGCUGGUUAUCUGAACUAUCACCUUGUUAGUGAGUUCGAUUUCACCAUCUUGUAAUCAAUCCCCUACCCCCAAAAAAAGAUGGCAAUUACCUAAAGAAAAGAACUGGGAUAACAUAUUGAAGCUAGUUUCGAGAUUGAAUAUCUAGAAAACAAUACCGUGCAUGCAUUUGAUGAAGUAG
RNAcentral lists this unclassified non-coding RNA (203 nucleotides) under Hevea brasiliensis (rubber tree). Lineage: Eukaryota; Viridiplantae; Streptophyta; Magnoliopsida; Malpighiales; Euphorbiaceae. The record is from RNAcentral.